GACGAACGCUGGCGGCGUGCUUAACACAUGCAAGUCGAGCGGUAAGGCCCUUUCGGGGGUACACGAGCGGCGAACGGGUGAGUAACACGUGGGUGACCUGCCCUCAGCUCUGGGAUAAGCCCGGGAAACUGGGUCUAAUACCGGAUAUGACUCCACGGUGCAUGCCGUGGGGUGGAAAGCCUUGUGCGGCUGAGGAUGGGCCCGCGGCCUAUCAGCUUGUUGGUGGGGUGAUGGCCACCAAGGCGACGACGGGUAGCCGGCCUGAGAGGGCGACCGGCCACACUGGGACUGAGACACGGCCCAGACUCCUACGGGAGGCAGCAGUGGGGAAUCUUGCGCAAUGGGCGAAAGCCUGACGCAGCGACGCCGCGUGA
RNAcentral lists this ribosomal RNA (374 nucleotides) under uncultured bacterium. RNAcentral's name for it is "bacterial SSU rRNA". It matches the Rfam family "Bacterial small subunit ribosomal RNA", at positions 28 to 404 of the family's 1533-position model. The record is from RNAcentral.